UGCGAUGGUCCCUGCGGAUGCUAACGCAAU
RNAcentral lists this non-coding RNA (30 nucleotides) under Arabidopsis thaliana (thale cress). RNAcentral also lists the same sequence under 1 other name. The record is from RNAcentral. Lineage: Eukaryota; Viridiplantae; Streptophyta; Magnoliopsida; Brassicales; Brassicaceae.